Molecule: ribosomal RNA, 253 nt
Filed under: uncultured bacterium
Lineage: Bacteria
Description: partial 16S ribosomal RNA
Rfam family: Bacterial small subunit ribosomal RNA
Source: RNAcentral
UACAGAGGCCUCGAGCGUUAAUCGGAAUCACUGGGCUUAAAGGGCGCGUAGGCGGGUUUUCAAGUCUGGGGUGAAAUCCUCUCGCUCAACGAGAGAACUGCCCUGGAUACUGGAGACCUCGAGGGAGGUAGGGGCAUGUGGAACUUCCGGUGGAGCGGUGAAAUGCGUAGAUAUCGGAAGGAACGCCGGUGGCGAAAGCGACGUGCUGGACCUCUUCUGACGCUGAGACGCGAAAGCGUGGGGAGCAAACAGG